AACGAACGCUGGCGGCGCGCCUAAUACAUGCAAGUCGAGCGAGAAGACGUAGCAAUACGUUUGUAAAGCGGCGAACGGGUGAGGAAUACAUGGGUAACCUACCCUCGAGUGGGGAAUAACUAGCCGAAGGUUAGCUAAUACCGCGUACGCUCCUUGGACUUCGGUUCAGGGAGGAAAGCGAUACCGUGGGUAUCGCGCUCUUGGAUGGGCUCAUGUCCUAUCAGCUUGUUGGNGAGGUAACGGCUCACCAAGGCUUCGACGGGUAGCUGGUCUGAGAGGACGAUCAGCCACACUGGCACUGCGACACGGGCCAGACUCCUACGGGAGCAGCAGUAAGGAA
This 340-nucleotide ribosomal RNA is filed under the name uncultured bacterium. Its description in RNAcentral is "bacterial SSU rRNA". It matches the Rfam family "Bacterial small subunit ribosomal RNA", at positions 29 to 361 of the family's 1533-position model. The record is from RNAcentral.